Non-coding RNA from Caenorhabditis elegans, 21 nucleotides. Lineage: Eukaryota; Metazoa; Nematoda; Chromadorea; Rhabditida; Rhabditidae. The record is from Ensembl.
UCACUUUGGAAUAGCCGCAUG